RNAcentral lists this ribosomal RNA (497 nucleotides) under uncultured bacterium. Its description in RNAcentral is "partial 16S ribosomal RNA". It matches the Rfam family "Bacterial small subunit ribosomal RNA", at positions 28 to 507 of the family's 1533-position model. The record is from RNAcentral.
GACGAACGCUGGCGGCGUGCCUAAUACAUGCAAGUUGAGCGAUGAAGCUUGGUGCUUGCCCCAAUUUGAAGAGCAGCGAACGGGUGAGUAACGCGUGGGGAAUCUGCCUUUGAGCGGGGGACAACAUUUGGAAACGAAUGCUAAUACCGCAUAAUAACUUUAAACAUAAGUUUUAAGUUUGAAAGAUGCAAUUGCAUCACUCAAAGAUGAUCCCGCGUUGUAUUAGCUAGUUGGUGAGGUAAAGGCUCACCAAGGCGAUGAUACAUAGCCGACCUGAGAGGGUGAUCGGCCACAUUGGGACUGAGACACGGCCCAAACUCCUACGGGAGGCAGCAGUAGGGAAUCUUCGACAAUGGACGAAAGUCUGACCGAGCAACGCCGCGUGAGUGAAGAAGGUUUUCGGAUCGUAAAACUCUGUUGGUAGAGAAGAACGUUGGUGAGAGUGGAAAGCUCAUCAAGUGACGGUAACUACCCAGAAAGGGACGGCUAACUACGUG